UUCCGGUUGAUCCUGCCGGACCCCACUGCUAUCGAGGUGGGACUAAGCCAUGCCAGUCGAACGACCCGGACUAUGGCGGGGAGUGGCAGACUGCUCAGUAACACGUAGCUAACCUACCCUCGGGACGGGGAUAACCCCGGGAAACUGGGGCUAAUACCCGAUAGGUAUGGAUUCCCGGAAUGGUGCCAUGCCUAAACGUAAGCACAUCCAUGUUUGUGUGCACGCCCGAGGAUGGGGCUGCGGCCGAUCAGGCAGUUGGUGAGGUAACGGCUCACCAAACCUUUGACCGGUACGGGCCAUGAGAGUGGUAGCCCGGAGAUGGGCACUGAGACAAGGGCCCAGGCCCUACGGGGCGCAGCAGGCGCGAAACCUCCACAAUUCACGCAAGUGAGAUGGGGUUACCUCGAGUGCCAUCUGAAGAAGGUGGCUUUUCCAUGGUGUAAUGAGCCGUGGGAAUAAGGGGGGGGCAAGACUGGUGUCAGCCGCCGCGGUAACACCAGCCCCCCGAGUGGUGGGGAUGAUUAUUUGGCCUAAAGCGUCCGUAGCCAGCUCGGUAAAUCUCUCGUUAAAUCCAGCGUCCUAAGCGUUGGGCUGCGAGGGAAACUGCCGAACUAGAGGGUGGGAGAGGUCAGCGGUAUUCCUGGGGUAGGGGCGAAAUCCAUUGAUCCCAGGAGGACCACCAGUGGCGAAGGCUGCUGACUAGAACACGCCUGACGGUGAGGGACGAAAGCUGGGGUAGCGAAUCGGAUUAGAUACCCGAGUAGUCCCAGCCGUAAACGAUGCACGCUAGGUGUUGGGUCGGCCAUGCGCCGCCUCAGUGCCACAGGGAAGCCAUUAAGCCUGCCGCCUGGGGAGUACGGCCGCAAGGCUGAAACUUAAAGGAAUUGGCGGGGGAGCACCACAGGCGUGAAGCCUGCGGUUUAAUUGGAGUCAACGCCGGG
RNAcentral lists this ribosomal RNA (941 nucleotides) under uncultured archaeon. RNAcentral's name for it is "bacterial SSU rRNA". It matches the Rfam family "Archaeal small subunit ribosomal RNA", at positions 1 to 922 of the family's 1478-position model. The record is from RNAcentral.